GAUGAAGAACGCAGUGAAAUGCGAUACGUAAUGUGAAUUGCAGAAUUCAGUGAAUCAUCGAAUCUUUGAACGCAUAUUGCGCUCUUUGGUAUUCCGAAGAGCAUGCUUGUUUGAGUAUCAGUAAACACCUCAAAGUCUUUUUUUUUUCUUGAAGAAAAAGACCUUGGACUUGAGCAAUCCCAACUCUUCUUUCAGAAGAGGCGGGUUGCUUGAAAUGCAGGUGCAGCUGGACAUUCUCCUGAGCUAAAAGCAUAUUCAUUUAGUCCCGUCAAACGGAUUAUUACUUUUGCUGCAGCUAACAUAAAGGGAGUUUGACCAUUUUGGCUGACUGAUGCAGGAAUUUCACAAGAGUCUUCAAAACGCUCUUGUUAAACUCGAUCUCAAAUCAAGUAAGACUACCCGCUGAACUUAAGCAUAUCAAUAAGCGGAGGA
Molecule: unclassified non-coding RNA, 432 nt
Filed under: soil metagenome
Description: partial contains 5.8S ribosomal RNA, internal transcribed spacer 2, and large subunit ribosomal RNA
Rfam family: 5.8S ribosomal RNA (bases 1-120)
Source: RNAcentral